RNAcentral lists this long non-coding RNA (1546 nucleotides) under Equus caballus (horse). RNAcentral describes it as "lncRNA (ENSECAG00000055089.1)". Lineage: Eukaryota; Metazoa; Chordata; Mammalia; Perissodactyla; Equidae. The record is from RNAcentral.
GAGCAUAGAACACAGUGAAUUUGGACUAUAGCAAUUGUGACAAUCUAUUGCUAUACUCAAGUGCUUUUUCUUAUUUCUUUCAACCACCAAGGAGGAAGUGACAACCUAGCACAAAGGGUGAAAAAGGAGGAGUUGUUUACAACUCGAUCCCAAGGCGCUGCAUCAACUUGUCAAGUGCUUCACUGCCCCACUCACUUAAUGACACUUAUUGUUACUUACAAAAUUUGCAGAUGGUGCAAUUGGAGGAUGUAGAGUUACCCACAUGACUGACAAGCCCCGUCAAAAGUUACCUUGACACAUUGAAACCAACAAAGUAAACUGCAAGGGAGCCCCUAGGAACUCUAAAGAAUAGAACAACACAACAGCUGAGAAGAGGAAAAGCAGGCUUCCCAGAGCCUUUAAUGUGCCUGGGGCCCAGGCCUCUCUGAGUCUGGGAUGCUGAUCUUCAGUACGAGGCUGGAAUGGCCCUGAAGAUUUAUUUGCUAUCAUGUCUGGGAGCUUCUCCAGCAGCUGAAGCAGACAUGGGCUGAGGGCAGGAAGGGAGCAAUUGCGAUUGAGGUUUUGAUGUACAGGCUCUGCUGGGUUGGUGAGGGAGCAUAGAGCAAUGCGGGGGAGCUAGUCUGGAGGCUGGUUUGAGACCCAGCCUUAACACUGACUUAGUGGGCGCUGGUCAUCCAGCUACAUCCCCGCCCAGAGUCAGGGAACAUGGCAACUCAGUGCAGGUGUGACAGGAGACAGAGACUGCCACUUGCUUGCAGCAUUCUUAUCACGUAAACAGAAAGAAGGGAGGAUUUGCCUGAAAACCAUACCCCAGCACGUGCAGGUAGUGACAGGAGGCUGUGGGCCUGCCUGAGGGCUCUGGGAAGCAGCUGGAUCCUGCAGUCCCAGCGUUUUCUACCAGGAAAUGAGGACAAGGACACUGUCACUCACCCCCAACUACGUCUAGGCACAGGAGAACAAAGCAGAAUUGUAGAUGAGUGACCUCCUACUUCCCGACCGUCAGAGAUGGUGAAUGUCAGUCAUCUGCACCCUCCUCCACAUUAUCCCAUGAGGAGACCUGCCUGUCAGCAAUGGAGACGUGUGCGGCAUUGUAUCUCAGGACCCAGAGCCAGGCUCGGCGUGCGGAGGGCAUUUCAUAAGGAAUUGUAGGAUAAACUAAACCAUAUACUCAAAUAUGUAUUUCUGGGUCAGCAGCCCUGACACAGUCAUCCCUGGAGAGACUGUGAUAAACUCUGACUCCCUGCUGUUCUGGAAGGAAUUUAGUCCUCUUGGUGACUGACUGGAGCAGGAACUGCCUUCAAGGAGGCCUCACAUGUGGAUCUGCCAUAGGGCAAGCACACCUGGAGAAUGACUUUGGGGGAGUGACCUUGGAUUUGCUCUGUCUGCAAUAAACAUUCUGGAACGUGUUGAAGUCAUAACAAGUUACUCACUCCUGGUGGGCUGGCAGGAAAGAAACCAGAGUGGGGAAUAGGGUUCAGUACAAAAAAAACACCAAAUAGAGCUUUUGAAUGGAAUGCUCACCUGAACCAGGUGGUAGAGCAGCAGC